GUGGGGAAUAUUGGACAAUGGGCGAAAGCCUGAUCCAGCCAUGCCGCGUGUGUGAAGAAGGUCUUCGGAUUGUAAAGCACUUUAAGUUGGGAGGAAGGGUAGUAACCUAAUACGUUGCUACUUUGACGUUACCGACAGAAUAAGCACCGGCUAACUUCGUGCCAGCAGCCGCGGUAAUACGAAGGGUGCAAGCGUUAAUCGGAAUUACUGGGCGUAAAGCGCGCGUAGGUGGUUUUGUAAGUUGGAGGUGAAAUCCCCGGGCUCAACCUGGGAACUGCCUCCAAAACUGCAUGACUAGAGUACGGUAGAGGGUAGUGGAAUUUCCUGUGUAGCGGUGAAAUGCGUAGAUAUAGGAAGGAACACCAGUGGCGAAGGCGACUACCUGGACUGAUACUGACACUGAGGUGCGAAAGCGUGGGGAGCAAACAGGAUUAGAUACCCUUGUAGUCC
Molecule: ribosomal RNA, 450 nt
Filed under: uncultured bacterium
Lineage: Bacteria
Description: partial 16S ribosomal RNA
Rfam family: Bacterial small subunit ribosomal RNA
Source: RNAcentral